This 530-nucleotide ribosomal RNA is filed under the name Meloidogyne graminicola. RNAcentral's name for it is "LSU rRNA". It matches the Rfam family "Eukaryotic large subunit ribosomal RNA", at positions 357 to 746 of the family's 3401-position model. The record is from RNAcentral. Lineage: Eukaryota; Metazoa; Nematoda; Chromadorea; Rhabditida; Meloidogynidae.
GGGAAAGUUGCAAAGCACUUUGAAGGGAGAGUUAAGGAGGACGUGAAACCGGUGAGGUGGAAACGGAUAGAGUCGGCGUAUCUUGCAAGUAUUCAUUUACAUUUAGUUGUAUUUUUUAGCUUUGAGCUCCAGAUUGGGACAGAGUUGAAUUAUAUGAUUAUUUGUGAUGCAUUUACUUGCUUGGUGCGUGGGGAUUUCUGAGACAGAUUUGUGCCCUACGUUUUGAGGCCAGCUUGCUGGUACCCGAAUUUGGUUAGCAAUUUUUGUUUUAGUUGUAAAAAAAGUAUGGCUUACGGACUUUAUAUGGAUUGAUUUGGUUGUAAGUUACGGUCGCAUGCGACACGUGCUUUUCAAUCUUUUCGGUCUGUGUAAUGUUCUCAUACUUAUUCCCCAUGUAAAAGCCGGUCAUCUAUCCGACCCGUCUUGAAACACGGACCAAGGAGUUUAUCGUGUGCGCAAGUUUUUGGGUGUUUAAAACCUAAAGGCGAAAUGAAAGUAAAUGACUCUUCGAGUCUGAUGUGCGACCUUUU